GAACGCUGGCGGCGUGCCUAACGCAUGCAAGUCGAGCGGGGAUGGUAGCUGAAGGUGAUGAGCUGGAAGCUAUCAUCUUAGCGGCGGACGGGUGAGUAACACGUGAGCAACCUACCCUCAGCACGGGGAUAACAGCUCGAAAGGGCUGCUAAUACCCGAUGGGACCACGUCAUCGCAUGGUGAUGUGGUGAAAGGGUGGACGUAAGGUCCAUACCGGCUGGGGAUGGGCUCGCGGCCCAUCAGCUAGUUGGUGGGGUAACGGCCUACCAAGGCGACGACGGGUAGCCGGCCUGAGAGGGUGACCGGCCACAGUGGGACUGAGACACGGCCCACACUCCUACGGGAGGCAGCAGCGGGGAAUCUUGCGCAAUGGGCGAAAGCUCUGACGCAGCGACGCCGCGUGAGGGAAGGAGCCCUUCGGGGUGUAAACCUCUUUGGACGGGGAGAGGUAGGAGAUAGUACCCGUUUAAAAAGCCCACGGCUAACUACGUGCCAGCAGCCGCGGUAAUACGUAGGUGGCGAGCGUUGUCCGGAAUUACUGGGCGUAAAGGGUGCGUAGGCGGCCUGGUAAGUUGAGCGUGAAAUUUUUGGGCUCAACCCAAAAGGAGCGUUCAAGACUGCCAGGCUUGAGUGCGGGAGAGGACGGCGGAUUUCCCGGUGUAGCGGUGAAAUGCGUAGAUAUCGGGAGGAACACUCAGUGGCGAAGGCGGCCGUCUGGACCGUAACUGACGCUGAGGCACGAAAGCGUGGGGAGCGAACCAGGAUUAGAUACCCUGGUAGUCCCACGCUGUAAACGAUGGAUGCUAGGUGUGGGGGAGAAAGAACUUCUUCCGUGCCGU
This 839-nucleotide ribosomal RNA is filed under the name uncultured bacterium. Its description in RNAcentral is "bacterial SSU rRNA". It matches the Rfam family "Bacterial small subunit ribosomal RNA", at positions 31 to 849 of the family's 1533-position model. The record is from RNAcentral.